AUUUUGCCUUGACACAUGGAGCGUCGUAACUGCAACCAGCCUUCGCGAAACAAUAUCUAACGGCGGUCCCGCGGAGGUAAGUGAUCAAGGUAACGUGCGGAUAUCUCUAAAGGUCGGGGUAGAUUUAGUACGUAAGCGCGAAGGGUGGCGGAUUGUACAUGCUGCUAAUGCAGACCAGCAGUAUCUUUUGAAAAUUUCGACCUUCACACAC
Non-coding RNA from Glossina fuscipes fuscipes, 211 nucleotides. NCBI's taxonomy places the organism in Eukaryota, Metazoa, Arthropoda, Insecta, Diptera, Glossinidae. The record is from Rfam.